This 488-nucleotide ribosomal RNA is filed under the name uncultured Lachnospiraceae bacterium. Its description in RNAcentral is "bacterial SSU rRNA". It matches the Rfam family "Bacterial small subunit ribosomal RNA", at positions 8 to 507 of the family's 1533-position model. Lineage: Bacteria; Bacillati; Bacillota; Clostridia; Lachnospirales; Lachnospiraceae. The record is from RNAcentral.
AGAGUUUGAUCCUGGCUCAGGAUGAACGCUGGCGGCGUGCCUAACACAUGCAAGUCGAACGGGCUUAACAUGAAACCUAGUGAUUGUUAAGUUAGUGGCGGACGGGUGAGUAACGCGUGGAUAACCUGCCGUAUGCAGGGGGAUAACAGUUGGAAACAGCUGCUAAUACCGCAUAAGCGCACAGUACCGCAUGGUACGGUGUGAAAAGAUUUAUCGGCAUACGAUGGAUCCGCGUCCGAUUAGCCAGUUGGCGGGGUAACGGCCCACCAAAGCGACGAUCGGUAGCCGGCCUGAGAGGGCGGACGGCCACAUUGGGACUGAGACACGGCCCAAACUCCUACGGGAGGCAGCAGUGGGGAAUAUUGCACAAUGGGGGAAACCCUGAUGCAGCGACGCCGCGUGAGUGAAGAAGUAUCUCGGUAUGUAAAGCUCUAUCAGCAGGGAAGAAAAUGACGGUACCUGACUAAGAAGCCCCGGCUAACUACGUG